RNAcentral lists this ribosomal RNA (253 nucleotides) under uncultured bacterium. RNAcentral's name for it is "partial 16S ribosomal RNA". It matches the Rfam family "Bacterial small subunit ribosomal RNA", at positions 524 to 776 of the family's 1533-position model. The record is from RNAcentral.
UACGGAGGGUGCAAGCGUUGUCCGGAUUUAUUGGGUUUAAAGGGUGCGUAGGCGGCCCUGUAAGUCAGUGGUGAAAUACUGCAGCUUAACUGUAGCAUUGCCAUUGAUACUGUAGGGCUUGAGUACAGAUGAGGUAGGCGGAAUUGAUGGUGUAGCGGUGAAAAUGCAUAGAUACCAUCAAGAACACCGAUUGCGAAGGCAGCUUACUAGCUGUAACUGACGCUGAGGCACGAAAGCGUGGGGAUCGAACAGG